GCCGGGGUGGCGAAACUGGUAGACGCAAGGGACUUAAAAUCCCUCGGUAGUAAUACCAUGCCGGUUCGAGUCCGGCCCCCGGCACCA
This 87-nucleotide transfer RNA is filed under the name Acidiferrobacteraceae bacterium. Its description in RNAcentral is "tRNA-Leu". It matches the Rfam family "tRNA". From Rfam's summary of the family: Transfer RNA (tRNA) molecules are approximately 80 nucleotides in length. RNAcentral also lists the same sequence under 1 other name. The record is from RNAcentral. Lineage: Bacteria; Pseudomonadati; Pseudomonadota; Gammaproteobacteria; Acidiferrobacterales; Acidiferrobacteraceae.